This 2357-nucleotide unclassified non-coding RNA is filed under the name Homo sapiens (human). Its description in RNAcentral is "partial carcinoembryonic antigen related cell adhesion molecule 19, transcript variant 9". Lineage: Eukaryota; Metazoa; Chordata; Mammalia; Primates; Hominidae. The record is from RNAcentral.
AUGGAGAUUCCCAUGGGGACCCAGGGCUGCUUCUCAAAGAGCCUCCUGCUCUCAGGUAAGGAGGAAAUAGACCCUAAAGGCCAAGGGGAGAAAUGGGGACUCAGCCCAGAGAUUGAAGUUUCCUCUUAGAAGUAGGGAAAGAUUACCUGAGAGGAUGAAAUUAGAAUAAGAUGGGGGAGGGGCAACAGAAUCACAGCCUCAUUGCCAUUUUAUCUAUGGAAUUUUCUAUAAUGUUAGGACCAUGAAGGCAGGAAUUUAUGUAUGUUUGGUUCCCUGCUAUAUCUCCAGUGUCUAGAAAUUGAAGGAAGUUUAGAUGUAUUACAUAUAGUUGGUAUUAUAGCUUAUAUAUUACAUAUGCCUAUAAGUAUUGGUUGAAUAAAUGAAUGAAUGAAUGAAUUCAGAGAGUCCAUGUGUUUAGAAGCAGGCCACACAGCAUCUCAAGGUAGAAAAACCUCUGGAUCAACAGGAUGGCAAAUCUGUGGUAACCAUGCCUGUGUUCCCACUCCUGCACCCAGGGCAGACAUCACUAAUCAAUCCCAGCAUUGUUUCCAAUGAGCAGCACUCAGAGUCCUUGCUCCCCGCUGAAGAUCUGUAUCUAGAGAGGAGCAUGCCAUGGUCCCUGGCAACACCCCUGAUCUCAGCCCUUCCCUGUAACUUCCCACAGCCUCAAUCCUGGUCCUCUGGAUGCUCCAAGGCUCCCAGGCAGCUCUCUACAUCCAGAAGAUUCCAGAGCAGCCUCAAAAGAACCAGGACCUUCUCCUGUCAGUCCAGGGUGUCCCAGACACCUUCCAGGACUUCAACUGGUACCUGGGGGAGGAGACGUACGGAGGCACGAGGCUAUUUACCUACAUCCCUGGGAUACAACGGCCUCAGAGGGAUGGCAGUGCCAUGGGACAGCGAGACAUCGUGGGCUUCCCCAAUGGUUCCAUGCUGCUGCGCCGCGCCCAGCCUACAGACAGUGGCACCUACCAAGUAGCCAUUACCAUCAACUCUGAAUGGACUAUGAAGGCCAAGACUGAGGUCCAGGUAGCUGAUUGAAAAAUGGAGGCACGCAGUGGUUAUGACUUGCUGAGUAAAGAAUACGAACCAGAAUGAUGUGACAUGGGAAAGGAGGUCAUCAGGGAGACCUCACUCAAGAAGUGACCUUAGAGGAGAGACCAGAAGAAGACUGCCUGCUCCGAGGGGCCAGGGAUCUCUGUCCAUCUUGUGCUCGGCUGUAUCCCCAGUGCCUUCAGUGACGCCCAGCACAUGGAUGGCGACCACAGAGAAGCCAGAAUUGGGCCCUGCUCAUGAUGCUGGUGACAACAACAUCUAUGAAGUGAUGCCCUCUCCAGUCCUCCUGGUGUCCCCCAUCAGUGACACAAGGUCCAUAAACCCAGCCCGGCCCCUGCCCACACCCCCACACCUGCAGGCGGAGCCAGAGAACCACCAGUACCAGGACCUGCUAAACCCCGACCCUGCCCCCUACUGCCAGCUGGUGCCAACUUCCUGAUGGGUCCUGGGCCAGGCCAGCCAGGGAGAAGACAAGGCCCCAGCCCUCCUCUGGGAGCCUCACACCUGAGACCAGCAGGACAAGGCCAUUGGGGGCUGUGGGGCCGAUGAGGUGGACUCAGCCAAAGACUCAGCAGCACAUGGGGCAGGUGUCCUGGCAGGGGGACAGGAGACUGUAACAGGCCCAGGUCCUUGUGCAGCCCGUGAAUGCACGCCCGCCUUCGGUCUGUUCCUUCAAGCAAGCUGGCCUGGGCCAUGUGCCUGUGAAAGGCAGGCUCUGGCCCCUUUCCAUGCCAAAGUCCCCCAAGAUCUGGAUAUCUGGGGACAAGAUGGUGGCCUCAGGCCUGCCUCCCAGGCAGUUGGCUGGGCUCCCAACUGUCUGUCCUCAAUGCCCUACCCCAACUCCACUAGUGACCCUCAGAGUCUUCUCCCCUUAGGACAAGGCAGACACCCCACCAUGCGGGCCUCAGGUGGCAGAGAGGCCCAGCCUCACAGGCCUGUGGCCCCACACACCAGUCCCAGCAAGGUGACCACGGCUGCUGGACCCCUUCCCUGUUCAGGCAGGCCCAGCCCCUCUCAGAACCUGCUGCCAGCUGCUGGUCUUGGCCCCCACCCUGAAUCUUACUGAGUCCCUCUGGGCAGCAGCUCCCUUCUCCACCCCACCCCAGCACCCGUCCCAAAUGUGGCCUCAGCUUGUCCUCCCCUUCCCCAAACUAUGCAUUCAUUCAGCAAUAAAUGAGCCUUUGCUGUAUGCCAGACCCAGUUCUAGGCUCUUGCAGCCCUGGUAGAAAGCAAAACAAAAACUCCCGCUUUCCCAGAGGGUCACUUGGCAGGGGAAAGAAUCAGGAAAUAAAAUAAAUAAUGAA